Long non-coding RNA from Nematostella vectensis (starlet sea anemone), 342 nucleotides. RefSeq lists it as uncharacterized. Lineage: Eukaryota; Metazoa; Cnidaria; Anthozoa; Actiniaria; Edwardsiidae. The transcript is spliced from 2 exons. The record is from RefSeq and is a predicted model, not a curated record.
CACGCACCAGUUAUUAAAUUGAUUCGGCUCAAGUUCGGUUCGACGAUGCCCUAAUUCUUACCGAGAGGAAAAGCCACUGUCUUGCUUCCCGAGAAAGGUGAAACGAGAGGGCAAACAAAGCUGCGGGAAACGUGUUUAGAAAAUAUACAGAAAAACAAGAAGAGGAACAAGAACAAAAGGCAUCGUUAGCCAACUGACCCCAAAAAACGCGAAUCUUGAUGAUUCUUCAGCAUACAUAAAAUAUGACAAUCUAGGGUUAGUUUGUUCAGUAACUGGUCUGUUGGCUACUAUAUUGCUACUGAUAGUUGUCGUGCGAUGUUGCUAUUUCAACUAUCGCUAUCA